GGGAGUCGCACGCUCCGCCGCCGCGGGGCGUGGCGCACGGCUGAGUAGCACGUGGCUAACCUACCCUCGGGAGGGGGAUAACACCGGGAAACUGGUGCUAAUCCCCCAUAGGGGAAGGCGCCUGGAAGGGUCCUUCCCCGAAAGGGUUUGGCAGGGGUUAUCGCUGCCAAGCCGCCCGAGGAUGGGGCUACGGCCCAUCAGGUAGUUGGCGGGGUAAUGGCCCGCCAAGCCGAUAACGGGUGGGGGCCGUGAGAGCGGGAGCCCCCAGAUGGGCACUGAGACAAGGGCCCAGGCCCUAAGGGGCGCACCAGGCGCGAAACCUCCGCAAUGCGGGCAACCGUGACGGGGCCACCCCGAGUGCCCCCUUUCCGGGGGCUUUUCCCCGCUGUAGGUAGGCGGGGGAAUAAGCGGGGGGCAAGUCUGGUGUCAGCCGCCGCGGUAAUACCAGCCCCGUGAGUGGUCGGGACGGUUAUUGGGCCUAAAGCGUCCGUAGCCGGCCUGGUAAGUCCCCUCCUAAAUCCCCGGGCUCAACCCGGGGACUGGGGGGGAUACUACCGGGCUAGGGGGCGGGAGAGGCCGAGGGUACUCCCGGGGUAGGGGCGAAAUCCUAUAAUCCCGGGAGGACCACCAGUGGCGAAGGCGCUCGGCUGGAACGCGCCCGACGGUGAGGGGCGAAAGCCGGGGGAGCAAACCGGAUUAGAUACCCGGGUAGUCCCGGCUGUAAACG
Molecule: ribosomal RNA, 727 nt
Filed under: uncultured archaeon
Lineage: Archaea
Description: bacterial SSU rRNA
Rfam family: Archaeal small subunit ribosomal RNA
Source: RNAcentral